Molecule: ribosomal RNA, 466 nt
Filed under: uncultured bacterium
Lineage: Bacteria
Description: partial 16S ribosomal RNA
Rfam family: Bacterial small subunit ribosomal RNA
Source: RNAcentral
GAUGAACGCUGGCGGCGUGCUUAACACAUGCAAGUCGAACGGAAAGGCCCAAGCUUGCUUGGGUACUCGAGUGGCGAACGGGUGAGUAACACGUGGGUGAUCUGCCCUGCACCUCGGGAUAAGCCUGGGAAACUGGGUCUAAUACCGGAUAGGACCACAUUUUGGAUGGUGUGGUGGAAAGUUUUUCGGUGUGGGAUGAGCUCGCGGCCUAUCAGCUUGUUGGUGGGGUAAUGGCCUACCAAGGCGUCGACGGGUAGCCGGCCUGAGAGGGUGUACGGCCACAUUGGGACUGAGAUACGGCCCAGACUCCUACGGGAGGCAGCAGUGGGGAAUAUUGCACAAUGGGCGCAAGCCUGAUGCAGCGACGCCGCGUGGGGGAUGACGGCCUUCGGGUUGUAAACUCCUUUCGCUAGGGACGAAGCGUUAUGUGACGGUACCUGGAGAAGAAGCACCGGCUAACUACGUG